Molecule: ribosomal RNA, 392 nt
Filed under: uncultured bacterium
Lineage: Bacteria
Description: partial 16S ribosomal RNA
Rfam family: Bacterial small subunit ribosomal RNA
Source: RNAcentral
AUACGGAGGAUCCGAGCGUUAUCCGGAUUUAUUGGGUUUAAAGGGUGCGCAGGCGGCCAUUUAAGUCAGCGGUUAAAUCGUGGGGCUCAACCCCAUUCUGCCGUUGAUACUGGGGGGCUUGAUUGCGGUCGAGGUUGGCGGAAUUCGUUGUGUAGCGGUGAAAUGCCUAGAUAUGACGAAGAACACCGAUUGCGUAGGCAGCUGGCCAGACCGCAAAUGACGCUCAUGCACGAAAGUGCGGGGAGCGAACAGGAUUAGAUACCCUGGUAGUCCGCACAGUAAACGAUGAAUACUUGUUUUCGGCGAUAUAAUGUCGGAGGCAAAGCGAAAGCGAUUAGUAUUCUACGUGGGGAGUGCGCCGGCAACGGUGAAACUCAAAGGAAUUGUCGGGG